GGUGUACAGGCAUCUGAUGAAGCUGCCAGCAUGAUCUAAUUAACUUUCUUUCUCUGUUGAUUUUAUGACAAUGGAAAAGAGAUGAGUGUCGAUUAGAUCAUGUUCGCAGUUUCACCCAUUGACUGUCGCACC
Molecule: microRNA precursor, 132 nt
Filed under: Brassica napus (rape)
Lineage: Eukaryota; Viridiplantae; Streptophyta; Magnoliopsida; Brassicales; Brassicaceae
Also listed under: 1 other name
Description: miR167a stem-loop (bna-MIR167a)
Gene: bna-MIR167a
Rfam family: MIR167 microRNA precursor family
Source: miRBase by way of RNAcentral